GACCCGUGGCGAACAGCUCAGUAACACGUGGCCAAACUACCCUGUAGAUCAGCAUAACCUCGGGAAACUGAGGCUAAUACUGAAUAAAGCUCCCAUCAUGGAAUGGAGGGAGCUGGAAACGCUCAGGCGCUACGGGAUGUGGCUGCGGUCGAUUAGGUAGACGGUGGGGUAACGGCCCACCGUGCCGAUAAUCGGUACAGGUUGUGAGAGCAAGAGCCUGGAGACGGAAUCUGAGACAAGAUUCCGGGCCCUACGGGGCGCAGCAGGCGCGAAACCUUUACACUGCACGAAAGUGCGAUAAGGGGAUCCCGAGUGCGAGGGCAUACAGUCCUCGCUUUUGUGUACCGUAAGGUGGUACACGAAUAAGAGCUGGGCAAGACCGGUGCCAGCCGCCGCGGUAAUACCGGCAGCUCGAGUGAUGGCCGCUAUUAUUGGGCCUAAAGCGUCCGUAGCCGGCCGAACAGGUCCGUUGGGAAAUCCAUCUGCCUAACAGAUGGGCGUCCAGCGGAAACCAGUCGGCUUGGGGCCGGAAGACCUGAGGGGUACGUCCGGGGUAGGAGUGAAAUCCUGUAAUCCUGGACGGACCGCCGGUGGCGAAAGCGCCUCAGGAGGACGGACCCGACGGUGAGGGACGAAAGCUAGGGUCACGAACCGGAUUAGAUACCCGGGUAGUCCUAGCUGU
RNAcentral lists this ribosomal RNA (682 nucleotides) under uncultured euryarchaeote. RNAcentral's name for it is "bacterial SSU rRNA". It matches the Rfam family "Archaeal small subunit ribosomal RNA", at positions 73 to 754 of the family's 1478-position model. The record is from RNAcentral. Lineage: Archaea; Methanobacteriati; Methanobacteriota.